ACGGGUGAGUAACGCGUGGGAAUGUACCCAUCCCUACGGAAUAACACAGAGAAAUUUGUGCUAAUACCGUAUACGCCCUUUGGGGGAAAGAUUUAUCGGGGAUGGAUCAGCCCGCGUUGGAUUAGCUAGUUGGUGUGGUAAUGGCGCACCAAGGCGACGAUCCAUAGCUGGUCUGAGAGGAUGAUCAGCCACACUGGGACUGAGACACGGCCCAGACUCCUACGGGAGGCAGCAGUGGGGAAUAUUGGACAAUGGGCGCAAGCCUGAUCCAGCCAUGCCGCGUGAGUGAUGAAGGCCUUAGGGUUGUAAAGCUCUUUCACCCACGACGAUAAUGACGGUAGUGGGAGAAGAAGCCCCGGCUAACUUCGUGCCAGCAGCCGCGGUAAUACGAAGGGGGCUAGCGUUGUUCGGAAUCACUGGGCGUAAAGCGCGCGUAGGCGGACCGUUAAGUCGGAGGUGAAAGCCUGGAGCUCAACUCCAGAACUGCCUUCGAUACUGGCGGUCUCGAGUCCGGGAGAGGUGAGUGGAACUGCUAGU
Molecule: ribosomal RNA, 537 nt
Filed under: uncultured bacterium
Lineage: Bacteria
Description: bacterial SSU rRNA
Rfam family: Bacterial small subunit ribosomal RNA
Source: RNAcentral